UCUAAAUUGCCAGUUUUGCAAAAAAGAAGCAAAAAGUAGUUGACACUCAUAACAGAUCUUGUAUAAAGACGUGUACCAAAUUGGGAGACCAGGGCUCAGUCUACAUCUGAGGUUUGAUUUAACUCAGGAGCUGGAUUGGCUUAAAACUAGUGUUCUGACUUCAUAGAGCACCAUAUCAAUGGCCAAAGUUCGAAACCUUGUAUCUCCAUUGGCGGCGUUGCGGACUCCAUGGUUUACUUAACUUUUUUUUUUUUGAACACUAGUCAACGCGUCAAAAUUCUAUGAACAUUUCAAAUUUCAGAUGGAUCAGAGUGACCUAUAGUCAGAGUUGCCACAGAAUUUAAAUAAUUAAAGUCACUGACAAAGUUGGAUCAAGUUUUCUGACAUUUAACGAUAUGCCGGAUAGUUAAAAAUCAACAACUCUACACCCAAAAAUGCAAUAUUUGCCAUUAGAAACAGUAAAAAAAUUUGAGAGAACGAAAAAUGUAAUUUAGCGAUUUUUUUCAAGACACUUUUCCCUCACAUUUCCUGAUUUUCACUUUUAAAUUUCCCUGACCUUUUCCAGUUCUUCCUCAGUGUGGCAACCCAAUAAAAUGUAUUUAUAAGUCGUUUCA
Non-coding RNA from Bemisia tabaci, 614 nucleotides. NCBI's taxonomy places the organism in Eukaryota, Metazoa, Arthropoda, Insecta, Hemiptera, Aleyrodidae. The record is from RefSeq and is a predicted model, not a curated record.